GUGCUUGCUUUGGCAACACAUAUACUAAAAUUGAAAUGAUACAAAGAAGAUUAGCGUCCCUAUGUAAGGAUGACAUGCGAAUUCAUGAAGCAGAAUUACCUUUG
This is a small nuclear RNA of Antechinus flavipes (yellow-footed antechinus), 104 nucleotides long. NCBI's taxonomy places the organism in Eukaryota, Metazoa, Chordata, Mammalia, Dasyuromorphia, Dasyuridae. The record is from RefSeq and is a predicted model, not a curated record.